GUAGUUGACUCCGUGGCUACAGAGACGCUGGCGGCGUGCCUAACACAUGCAAGUCGAGCGAGGGAGAGAAGUUUACUCUUGAACCUUAGCGGCGACGGGUGAGUAACACGUGGGUAACCUGCCCUUGAGACGGGGGAUAACAGGUCGAAAGGCCUGCUAAUACCGCAUAACGCUAAGAUGCCGCAUGGCGUCUUAGCCAAAGGUUAAUUCCGCUCAAGGAUGGGCCCGCGGCCCAUUAGCUAGUUGGUGAGGUAAUGGCUCACCAAGGCGACGAUCGGGUAGCCGGCCUGAGAGGGUGGUCGGCCACACUGGGACUGAGACACGGCCCAGACUCCUACGGGAGGCAGCAGUGGGGAAUAUUGCGCAAUGGGGGAAACCCUGACGCAGCGACGCCGCGUGAGCGAUGAAGGCCUUCGGGUUGUUAAAGCUCUGUCUUCCCUGACGAUAAUGACGGUAAGGGAGGAGGAAGCCACGGCUAACUACGUG
Molecule: ribosomal RNA, 486 nt
Filed under: uncultured Clostridiaceae bacterium
Lineage: Bacteria; Bacillati; Bacillota; Clostridia; Eubacteriales; Clostridiaceae
Description: bacterial SSU rRNA
Rfam family: Bacterial small subunit ribosomal RNA
Source: RNAcentral